Molecule: long non-coding RNA, 1659 nt
Organism: Haplochromis burtoni (Burton's mouthbrooder)
Lineage: Eukaryota; Metazoa; Chordata; Actinopteri; Cichliformes; Cichlidae
Exons: 3
Source: RefSeq, a predicted model, not a curated record
CAAUUCUUUGUUGGUUUUGUUUCAUAUUUACCAGUGACGAUAUAAAUGCUCAUUCAUUCUUUAACUAAAAGCAGCAGAUAAAGCAUCCCUGCUUAUAUCCUGCCAUUUACAUAUUUAAAAACAGUUUAUUCCAGAUAUUAACAAAAUCAUCUAUUGCUGUAUUUCCAGGUUUAGGACAUACAGACACACAUUUGGUCCCACUGACUUUAAUCUCUACGUUAUUUUCUCUUAAAAUUUUUCUAACAUGUUAAAAGCUGUACUGCAGCUUUUGGAAAGAUUUAAUCCUGAAGAAAACACAUGGAAAAGACUUUUUUCCCUUUCCCACCCACAGCACAGAACACAGUGCUAAAUCCACUGGAUGCAUUUCCUGUGAGUUACACACACACAGAUAUAUUUACACACAAUGCAUUGGCUUCUUCUGCUAAACAAAAUGAUGUGGGAGGCGAGAUACGUGGCCAAGUCAGUCCUCCCUGCAUCUGCUGCUGCAGGAGGAAACACAGAGGACUGCAGGGACCUCAAGUACAGAACAAAAGACAAAUAUCAUGAGAUCAGUGUCACCAUCCCACGUCUGAACAAUCACCAGUGACUCUCCAACUGCUCGGCCUCAUGUUCCUGUACUCCACGCAUACGCAGCACGGAUGGAGGAGGAGGAGGACGCUGUUGUUGAUUGCAGCCUUUUGACUGAAUCAGCAUAAACACACUGAUGAGGGGAAUCCUUCACGCUGCUUUACGUAAGUGGUCUUGUUAGAGAUGUUUUCACACAUCCUCUCUGUACAGCAACAAGAACCUCCACAAACAGCCUCUGACACAUUUGCACUAAUUCAGUCAGAAGCGAUCAGACAUGUUUUUCUUUUCUUUCCUUUUGCAUUUGUAGAAAUUUUCAGAGUUUCUGCACUUUUAACCUCAAACCACCAAGAUUUCAUACAGGAAUUCUUUCUCACUGACUCUGUUUGUGCUAACUGCAACUUCACUGUUUCCUUCAUCUACGGCAGUCUUGGAGGAGUUCCCAGAGCUGCUGAGUACGUGUUGGCCCUUUUGCCUCUGUGGUCCAUCUCAUCCCAAACCAUCUCGACUGGGUUUAGGUCAGGUGACCGUGGAGCCUAGGACAUCUGACACAGCACUCCAUCACUCCCCUUCUUGGUCAAACAGCCCUUACACAGCCUGGAGGUGUGUUUGGGGUCAUUGUCCUGUUGAAAAAUAAAUGAGGGUCCACUAAACACAAACCAGAUGGAAUGGCAUGUCACUGCAGGAUGCUGUGGUAGCACACCACCUCCUCCAUGCUUCACGGUGGGAACCUGUAGAGCAAGGCCAAGGGUUUGCAGCGCUGUCAAAGCCAAGAUUUUUUUCUUUCGCAAUUCUUCAUAAUUCCAAAUAUCUUGCUUCAUGUAAUUGAUAUAUCUACAAUCUAGAAAGUAUUAAAAACAAAGAAAAACCAUCAAAAGAGAAGGCGUGUCCAAACUUUUGACUGGUGUGAAUAUUAUAAUAGUAAUAAUAUCUUCAACAGUCAGUGCCUCUUGUCAGUUUCUGUAUAAGGUCAAUACUUUUGGUCAGAAUUGUGGAUUCUGAAUGUUAUCAAAAAGCAUCAUGACCUGGGAAUAUUACCAGAACAACCCGAGUGUUGGUGUUGAGAUGAGGUUUGAGAUGAUGUCAUUUGUUUAA